RNAcentral lists this long non-coding RNA (1817 nucleotides) under Monodelphis domestica (gray short-tailed opossum). Its description in RNAcentral is "lncRNA (ENSMODG00000042995.1)". The record is from RNAcentral. Lineage: Eukaryota; Metazoa; Chordata; Mammalia; Didelphimorphia; Didelphidae.
GCCGCACUCUGCACCCAGCGCCGUAAACAAACAAAGGCCGGGAAGUGGGGGAGGGGGUCUCGGUCAGGUGACGGGGUGCCGCACGUUUCGCAAUCGCACCCUGAGCUGCUUCAGGAUACAGACCUCGGCCCCCGACCCCAGCCCCGCCGAUCCCUGAAGACGGGCAGGAAUGGAGAGCGUCCGGGUGGGGCGGGGUGUCUCGCUCUCGGGCCACGCACGCGCCCCGACCGACCCCCUCCCGGCCCGUUCGGCUCUGCUCCCCGCUCCCCGCCGGCCGCAGCCGUUCUCUCUCUCGCUCUCUCCCCCAUCUCCGGGCGGGUCGCAGAGUUACGGUCCCCGGCUACCUCUCAGGCUCAGCGGACCCCCUUGGCCCCGGCACCAACGCUCCCCCGGCCGCAGCUAGCGAGCGCGGUCUCCAGUUCCCUUCCCUGCGGCGUCUCCUGCCACCUCGCUCCGAGGCCCGAGCUCACAACAAAGAAGUUAUCCCAAGCAACCAUUUCCUUUCUCCAUCCCAGAGAGCCAACCCAUCUGACAAAUAGCAUUUUUUUAGAAAGGAAAAAAAAAGUCAGUGUGAUUGAUCAAUAGAUUGAAAACAUCCGAAAGCAUUUCCUGUAGGUAACACCUAUGGACCUCCCACUCCACAGAGGGGAAAGCUGGGAGUGUAUUCUCAUCUGCCUUCACUGGAGUCCUAUUUGGUCUUCACAAUUUUGUUACAUUGACUUUUGAUUUUUUGGUGUCUGAUUGUUCUUUCCCUUUAUGUUGUAGUCAACUGCAUAUAUUGUUAUCUUGACUGCUGACUUCACUCUGUUCAUGAAGCUCUUCCCAAGCUUCUCUGUUUCCAUCACACACAUCAUUGUUUAUGGCUCACAAAGAUUCCAUUCCAUUUGUGGACUAUAGAUUGUUUAGCCAUUCCCCAAUUGAUGGAUAUCUCUCUUGUUUCCAAUUCCUCACUGGCACAAAGAGUGCGUCUAUCGGUGUUUUGGAGUGUAUGAGACUUCCUUCUUCUCAAUGACUUUUUGGGGGUAUCAGGAUGGUUGACAUGUUGGAUGGCAGAAGCUAGAAAAAUGGGCCAAAUUUAAUUAGUCAUAAAGCACUGCUCUGACUAUCUCAUCCCCCUGCUCAAGAAAGUUCAGUGAUUUCCUUUUGGCUCCAGUAAAAAAUAUAAGUGAGCAGCUAGAUGGCACAGUGGAGAGAGAGUGCCAGGCCUAGAGUCAGAAAGUUCUAAUUUAGGCUCAGACACUUUCUAGCAGUGUAACCCCGGAUAAAUCUUUACCCUGUUUGGCUCAGUUUCCUUAUCUGUAAAAUGAGCUGAAGAAGGAAAUGGCAAAGUACUCCAUUUUUCCAAGAAAAUCCCAAAUGGAGUCACGAAGGGUCAGACACAAUUGAAAAAUUACUGAAUUACAAAAAAUACCUAUUUUUCCAAACUGACUGAUGUUACAUUGUGGCCAUACUGGCCUGCAUCACCCAUCUUCAUACCUUUGCACAAAUUGUUCCCCAUGCCUGGAAGGCUUCUUCUCUUCACCUCUGUCUCACUUCUGUCAGGAGGCCUUUCCUAAUCCUUCCACUUGUUAGUAUUUUUUACUCCUGCCCCCAAAUUUAUAUAUUUACAGAAAUAUUUAUAAUAUUCUUAUUUUCUUGUUGUAAUUUGUGUGUGUGUGUGUAUGUGUGUGUGCGCGUGUGUGUGUGCCUGUUGCUUUCCUUCAGCAGAAUAUAAGCUCCCUGAGAGCAGGAACUCUUUUCUUUUUCUUUAUUAUUUCUAGAAUCCAGCACAGUGUUCAACAUAUAGUAGGUACUCAAUAAAUGCUCAAUAAAUUUCA